This 460-nucleotide ribosomal RNA is filed under the name uncultured bacterium. RNAcentral describes it as "partial 16S ribosomal RNA". It matches the Rfam family "Bacterial small subunit ribosomal RNA", at positions 338 to 795 of the family's 1533-position model. The record is from RNAcentral.
CCUACGGGUGGCAGCAGUGAGGAAUAUUGGUCAAUGGUCGGGAGCCUGAACCAGCCAAGUAGCGUGAGGGAGGACGGCCCUGCGUGUUGUAAACUUCUUUUGUAAAGGAAUAAAGAGUGGCACGUGUGCCUGUAUGUGUGUACUUUAUGAAUAAGGAUCGGCUAACUCCGUGCCAGCAGCCGCGGUAAUACGGAGGAUUCGAGCUUUAUCCGGAUUUAUUGGGUUUAAAGGGAGCGUAGGCGGGUUGUUAAGUCAGUGGUGAAAGUUUGGGGCUCAACCGCUACAUUGCAGUUGAUACUGGCAGCCUUGAGUUCAGUUGAGGUAGGCGGAAUGCGUGGUGUAGCGGUGAAAUGCUUAGAUAUCACGAAGAACUCCGAUUGCGAAGGCAGCAUACUAAACUGCCACUGACGUUGAGGCACGAAAGUGUGGGUAUCAAACAGGAUUAGAUACCCCUGUAGUC